UUUAAGUGCAACCAUAAGUUUCCGCGUCCCACUUUAAUCGUUCGUGUUAUUUGAAAAUUUUGUAUAAUUAGUAUUUUUGUUGUUAUGAGAUAAUAAAACAUGAAUAGUACUUUACUCGUGACUUAUGUUUUUAAUUUUUUUAAAUUUUUUUUAAAUAAGAUGGACAGUUAAAAUUGCGUACGGAAAAUUAUGGUUGUACUUACA
Non-coding RNA from Oryza barthii, 204 nucleotides. The record is from Rfam. NCBI's taxonomy places the organism in Eukaryota, Viridiplantae, Streptophyta, Magnoliopsida, Poales, Poaceae.